AGAGCUAACAUUGAGCUCGAUUUCUCUUUGAUUUUGCUUGCUCGAGCUCGUUUCCAUACAUAUUCAAGCUCCGAUGGUGUCUGUGAAGAAGAUCUGCGUCGAUAGGUCCGUAUCUCAGCCUGUACAGCUCCGAUAGCUUCUCCGGCGAUCUCUGGUCCGGAUUCUCAGGCGUCGCGAGCUCUUGUUGGUGUUGAUCAUGGCGAUUCGAUCCACUCUCUGUUUUUCAUGCACACUUCUGAUCAUCCUGGUUUGCUUCUGAUCUCUAUCAAACUUGAUGGAUCUCACUUUGAUGAUUGGGAAGCUGCGAUGAAGAUUGCUUUGGAUGCGAAGAAUAAAAUCGAUUUUGUAGAUGGAUCGAUUCCACGUCCUCUUGAAUCCGAUCUAAACUUUCGCGUUUGGUCUCGUUGUAACAGCCUUGUUAAGUCAUGGAUACUUAACUCGGUAUCAACUCAGAUCUAUAGCAUUUUGCGUUUGAAUGAUGCUACUGACGUUUGGCGUGAUUUGCAUAGUAGAUUUCACAUGACGAACUUGCCACGAACUUACAACCUCACGCAGGAGAUACAUGAUCUGUGUCAAGGCUCUCUAUCCCUCUCUGAUUAUUUCAACAAUCUGAAGACUCUGUGGAGUAGUUUGAAGAGUUGUGAAGAAGCUGAUGAUCCAUGUACGUGUGGGAAAGCAGCUCGGCUUCAUCAGAAGGCUGAGCGUGCUAAGAUUGUGAAGUUCUUGGUAGGCCUCAAUGAAUCAUAUCUGUGAUUCGUCGUCAGAUCAUAAUGAAGAAGACUCUGCCUUCUCUCACUGAGGUCUAUAACAUCCUCCAUCAAGAUUACAGUCAGAAGAGUUUCGCGACUGCCGUUUCACCUGCUUCAUUUCAGGUGUCUGAGACUUCAACUUUGCCUUCGAGUGUGUGCUAUGUUCAAACUGGAGCUCACAAAGGGAAACCUAUUUGCUCAUUCUGUAAGAAAGUCGGUCACAUUGCAGAGAGGUGUUACAAGAAUCAUGGCUUUCCUCCGGGUUAUACUCCACGAGGCAAGUCACCUGAGUAGAUGUCAUAAGGAUAUGACCUAUAACAGCUCUGUUUUGUUUUCUUUGUUGUCGGAGGAGAAAUCUUCGGUGCUUUUGUUGCCACUAGUGGUAGUGCUCUGGGAGGUGCAGGUGAUAGAGGUGAAGGGAUUGAUUUGAACGUGGAUCAUGUGUAGGAAGAUGAUCACGAGGCUGCUAAUCGUUUCACGGAUAUGGGUUGUGACCGUGCAAGCAAGGAGUUGAAAAACCAAAUCCAUAUGCAACUCCAACUGGUGAUUUUGGAAUCGGGCUUCAACAGCUUGAGCUAUAUGGAGAGGAGCAAGCGAGUGCAACUGAAGUAAAAACCUUCAACAGAGGAGGAAAUUCAUAUCUCAGUAGAAAGAAGAGAAGUCUGAUCCGAGAAAAGAAGGUGAUGAUGAGAUAAGUAAAUGGAUCUGAUCUUCCUGCCAUGUCUUGGCUGUGUCUCUUCUGCCAUAAGCAAAUCAACAAAAACGAUGGCCGUCGUCUAGCCCCAGAAACAACAGAGGAGUUAGUUUCCAGCAAUGUGGCUGUUACAUAUGUCGUUGGGACUUUUGUUUGGACUUGACAUAGCUUAAGAGAUAGUUUUAUGAGUUAUUCAUAUGUUUUUUCCUAUUUUUGUUUUAUGUUGUCUUGGUAUCUCAGUUAGGUUGACUUUUAAAAUUAUAAGUAAGUCUAUUAAGUUAAGGUACAUAUAAAUGUAAGUUCUGACUUUGUAAAAAAACCAUAAUAAAUACAUUUAUUUCUCCAAAAUUUCUAUGAAACAAUGUUGGUGUCUAUUUGCCGCAUCUAAUUCAUUUUCCUUCCAUAUAUUUUCUGAAGUAGUAUGUGAAAACAAAUUUAUAAAGACACAUCCACACAUUAGAAA
This is a long non-coding RNA of Brassica napus (rape), 1906 nucleotides long. RefSeq lists it as uncharacterized. The record is from RefSeq and is a predicted model, not a curated record. The transcript is spliced from 3 exons. Lineage: Eukaryota; Viridiplantae; Streptophyta; Magnoliopsida; Brassicales; Brassicaceae.